UCUAAAGGGAGGGAGUAACUAUUAAAUUGAAAGAUAAAAGAAAAACUUCAAUUUAUUAGAGUUUAAUUUUCAAUUUAAUUCUCAAAGUAGCUUCCAUCUCGAACCAACGCCACCACCAUCUUCCCUUGUCCGCUGCCACUUUGCUCUUUUGCAUCAGGAAUAGAUUGGAAUUGCAGUGACUUCAACUUCCCGGAAAACACAGCUGGAGUUCUUCUGCGUUGGCGUAAAGAGUUCAAGUUUGGAAGUUGAAUCAAUUUGGGAGGAUGAAUCGAAAAUUUGGAGGUGGAAAGAAACCAACUGGGACUCCUUCAUUGCCCUGGUCAUGUGUGGUUGUCAUCUGUUCUCUUCUUGCCGGUGCUUCUGUUGUACACAAUAUCUAUAAACCUAACCUCACAUUGCCACCAAUUGAUGGAGUUGAUGAAACCAAGAAACUAGAUGCGAAAGAACGAUGAACUCCUGGUUAUCACUUUUUUCUUAUAUCUUGAAGAGGAGCAUGUUUUGAGUCCUAGAAUUUACUGUAUCUGUUAUUAAAACAUAGAGGCAGAGAUUGUUCUUCCCCAACGGUUCAUUUUUUUAUAUUAGGAUUUUUAGAUAUUAGGACAUAGUAUAAAUGUUUUUGUAUAAGCUAUUGUUGUAUCCAAAGAUAUAAUAAAGUCAAAUUAUUUUCAUAUAA
Long non-coding RNA from Lathyrus oleraceus (garden pea), 673 nucleotides. RefSeq lists it as uncharacterized. The transcript is spliced from 4 exons. Lineage: Eukaryota; Viridiplantae; Streptophyta; Magnoliopsida; Fabales; Fabaceae. The record is from RefSeq and is a predicted model, not a curated record.